GACGAACGCUGGCGGCGUGCUUAACACAUGCAAGUCGAACGGAAAGGCCUUUUCGGCGGUACUCGAGUGGCGAACGGGUGAGUAACACGUGGGUGAUCUGCCCUGCACUCUGGGAUAAGCCUGGGAAACUGGGUCUAAUACCGGAUAGGACCGCACUUUAGUGUGUGUGGUGGAAAGUUUUUUGGGUGUAGGAUGAGCCCGCGGCCUAUCAGCUUGUUGGGGGGGUAUUGGCCUACCAAGGCGGCGACGGGUAGCCGGACUGAGAGGUUGGUCGGCCACAGUGGGACUGAGAUACGGCCCAGACGCCGACGGGAGGAAGCAGUGGGGGAUAUUGCACAAUGGGCGCAAGCCUGAUGCAGCGACGCCGCGUGGGGGAUGACGGCCUUCGGGUUGUAAACUCCUUUCGCCAGGGACGAAGCGUUUUGUGACGGUACCUGGAGAAGAAGCACCGGCUAACUACGUG
RNAcentral lists this ribosomal RNA (463 nucleotides) under uncultured bacterium. Its description in RNAcentral is "partial 16S ribosomal RNA". It matches the Rfam family "Bacterial small subunit ribosomal RNA", at positions 28 to 507 of the family's 1533-position model. The record is from RNAcentral.